Centrocercus urophasianus (Greater sage-grouse) is the source of this 856-nucleotide long non-coding RNA. RefSeq lists it as uncharacterized. Lineage: Eukaryota; Metazoa; Chordata; Aves; Galliformes; Phasianidae. The transcript is spliced from 2 exons. The record is from RefSeq and is a predicted model, not a curated record.
GUAUAUGUGUAUGUGUGCCUAUCUCCUCUGUGUUCUGUUGUGCUCUGCUUUCAGAGUUCCUUCUUUAGGAUUGUAGUGACGCUUUGCACAGAAGAUUUGAGAGUUGUAACUUUCAGUAGGAAAAGAAAUGCUGAGCUUUGUCAGAUGUUUGAACCAGUGUUUGAGGUCAGCCAGAUUAGAGGAAAAUGCUCGUUGAGAGUUCUGCCCUGUUAAUGAAUUGUAGCACUUUUGCACUCGUUAGAUAUCAGCCCAAUAUAGGCUGGCACUCCUGUGGCUAUCUAGGGAGCAUAUGGCUAAUGUGAUCCAGCACCACAUGACAACCAAGAUCAGGACACUGGAACUCUCAGAUCACCAGGGCUGAGUUCUCCCUUGCUUUGAAGGCGAGAUCACGGGCUGCACGUAGAGAUGAGUGAAGAUGUUUGCUGCUAAUCCUGUUGGCUGGGAUGUGUUGGCAUCACCCCAGCUAUUUCGUGGUCAUGAAGUACUGUCCUGCACCAGAUCCUGAUGCACUUACUGACUGUGAACAUGACUGCAGACGCAGGACAGCCAAGUGCUAGCCCAUACAGCUGAGGUUGUCAUGAUCUGGCCCCAUCGUCUCUUUCAGAGAGUGGCAAUCUCUCCUCUGAUCCAUGUGGACAUUUUGUGAAGUCCUUAAUUUCAAGCCUUGCAACUUGCACAUGUGUGCCUGUCGGCCACCAGGGACUAGUAGGAUUCCAGUGAGAACUGGCACUUUUGAUUUUCCUUGCCUUGCAUUGGGAGAUAUAUGAGAGUUUGUUUAUGUGAGAUUUGGGAGAACAAAGGCAAAUUAAAUCCCACCCUUCCAAUAAGAUAUAUAUUUUUUCAACCUUGAAGUAAA